Long non-coding RNA from Pan troglodytes (chimpanzee), 1078 nucleotides. RefSeq lists it as uncharacterized. NCBI's taxonomy places the organism in Eukaryota, Metazoa, Chordata, Mammalia, Primates, Hominidae. The record is from RefSeq and is a predicted model, not a curated record. The transcript has 8 exons.
GACUCUCUUCAAAUAGUCUCCCUUUUGCCUUUCCUGGACCCUUAUCUUGGAUCCAGAUUCUAAGCCAAGAAAAAUAAACAUCCUAUGAAACUACCUGGCAAAUUUCUAAAUGUAUUAUUGUGAAACUGUCAUCCCUCUAGCUUGAGAGAAAUAGAAACUGGCUUCUACUCAAAGCAGACAAACUGUCUCUCUCAUCUCUGAAAACUAAAAAUCUAAAAAGAAAAAAUUAGGCUGAAUACUAGAAGGUCAGAGAGUGGCCUUUUUGUCAACUCUUCAUGGUUUUGUUAAGUGCCAUUCCAUUCUGAGCUGGCAGUUCUUAGACAUGUUUCCCUCUAGAACAUAACACUAGAGAUGCUUGGACCAUCUGUCUGUCCGACAGACCAUCUGUACAAGGCACUGGCACCCCUUCCAGAAAAUAGAAGAGAAACUGAGGACACUACAUAGGGAAAGGCUGACUUUGCAGUACCGAAAUACCUGGGUCAAGUGGUACCAGCCGUGCAGUUAGCAAAGCAGAAUUGGAUUCAUCACUGACAGCUCAGCUCAGCUACAUUGAGAGAGCCUAACGCAGCUCCCUCCAAACCUCAGAGUCUGUCACCCAGGCUGGAGUGCAAUGGCAAGAUCUCCGCUCACUGCAACCUCCGCCUCCUGGGUUCAAGGGAUUCUCCUGCCUCAGACUCCUGAGUAGCUGGGAUUACAGGGAAUAAUGACAAGAAAAGCCAUGUGCAGACUCAACCAUCGGAGACCUAACUACAUUUUCAAUCCAGGGAAUAACUAAGUCCACUUUGGAAAAAAGAAUACUAAGUGCUCACGAAGGGACCUUGUGAAUGAUAAUGUGCAAAGUUACGGAUGCUGAAAAGCCAAAGGUCAAAAGGCUGCGUCUGUUAAGAGCCUUCUUGCUGGUGGAAACUUUGAAGAGUCCCAAGAUGGCACAGGAAGCAUCUUGAAUUUUGAGAGUAAAUCAAGAAAGAAGAAGACACUGAUUCAAGAAGAGGCCACCUAACAUAACAGGUGAAUCCCAGGACCAUGAGGAAUGGGCCCCAAGAAGACAGUUCAACAGUGCUAGGGAGCACCUAUUCCA